Molecule: long non-coding RNA, 1213 nt
Filed under: Gallus gallus (chicken)
Lineage: Eukaryota; Metazoa; Chordata; Aves; Galliformes; Phasianidae
Source: RNAcentral
GGGGGGGGGAGGGAAAUGUCACCCGGCGGGCGCGGUGCUGAGGGACGGAGCGAGGGGACGGAGGGACAGGGAGCGCCGCCGGCUGUCAAGCAGAGCAGUUGCCAAGUGAUCUUCUCCACAGCACCCACGAACUUUGGCCUUACACUGAAGAGGACUCGUCAAAUGCUUUGGGAGAUACAACACGGAAUUGGAAGAGAAGCAUGGAUCUACCUGAAGGGCAGUUCGCUGCAUUCUUGGUGUGUGGAGGAACGGGUCCCGUGCUCACUGUUGUUACUCCCACAUAGGCGGACUCUGUAACUGAUUAUAUGUGGGUAGGGCCCUAUUGAAAUUAAGGAGAUUCUGCAGUAGUGCGGGGUUCUGUUUGUGUGACCCUACUGUGCCUUCUUACUGUGAAUUCUGUCAGUGUAUCAUGGGUUGUGCUGGAACCUGCCUUUUGGGAUAAUUACCAAAUAAUAUAUUCCUCAAAACUUCUUAAUGGCACUGAGGCUUUGUGGAUAGUUGGUCACAUGAUGAGAAAAUUCAGCUAAAAUCCAUACAAUAUAUCCAUUAAGGAUAUCAUUAUUCUUGGAUAAUUCACCACGUGAACCCGGAGUCCUUCAGCACUGCUGUUAGCACUGUCCUAACUCCCCAUCUGGAUGACUGCUGACCAUUCCCUCUGAUGCUGACAUCAGUAUUUUCUGUGAGAGAGAGUACUGUAGUGAAGAGACAGAAAAAGAAGAAGAUGGCACUAUUGUGAUUUUGUUGUUGUAUGGCUUUGAAUCACCUACAAGUAUUGCUGCGACCGCAAAUUAAGUGUGCUGGUUUCCCAAUGAACUUGUAAUUUCAAGAUGUUUGUAGAAAUGUAAAAUCAAACGUGAACCGCAUUAAAGUCAUUUAAAUUUAACAAAAUAUAGCACUAGUCUUCUUUUAUUUUUAAUAUGGAGACCUACGUGGCUCACUUGCAGAAAGUGGGUUAUAUUUUAAAAGCUGUGGACUGGCAAGUUCUGACUUACUAAAGCAUAAAAUCAUUGUCCUCCUCCCUGUGGCAGUAGUUUCUUUAUUCAGACCCACUGCUUAAAGAUCUCUCCUGUUGUUUCCUUCUCUAUCUUCUCCUUUUUUACUUCCUUUUACUAGCUUGAGUUUCCUGUUCCUUUUUGCACCGAACUUUCCUAAGUCUCUUGGUCCAAAACCAGUCCCUUUUUCUCUCACGUAUACGUCCAUCAGCCUAAACUAC